CUUUCGAAUGGCACAAGAAUUUUGAUGAUCCGGCAAUCCUAACUAAAGUUAUUAUCGUUUAAAAAAUAAUUACAUAACCUUUUAGUUCUAUGUCGCUUUUCGUGAAUGGUCACCGUGCAAGAAAAGCGUUGCCUCUUUUGCUUCAUAAGAACUCUGUAUUUACCUUGUGGGAAAGUCUGCAGUUAGUCUGUAUCUUUCAGUUUUGGCAUCCAAAUACAUUUUUGUAAUCGUUCAAAUCCAGAGUUUUUUUUUUGAAAAGGUCCUAUAACCUAUUGUCUUUUAUAUGUUUAUAGGACCUAAUCAAAAAAAUGUCGAGAAAUGCAAAGUCGGCCAUUAAAAAAAAUAAUUUCAUCUAAAAUAUUUGCCUGCAUUGAUAAAUGAUUAAAAUUAGCCAUAUUAAAUCUGUGUUGCAGUUCUUUAUAUUUAAAUUUAUCCUAUAAGAAAUGUCUGUAUUUAUCUUUUUCCUCUAGAACUGGCAUUACUGUUCGAGAGCUUAUCGAAUGUCAAACGUACUGCUCUUCGCAUCAAUGUUGUUGUUUACGUUUUUACUGUACCGUUUAUUUAAUUUUGUGAAAAGUUCGUGUACGGCGGGUCUGCUUUUGGUCACUGGUGAACCGACCAGAAAGUUAGAAGAGCAUUUAUAUUGUCAACGACGUAACAGCGGGAACCAGUGACUUAUAAGAUGCAGAAUGAGGCCCUCAAGCUGGUGUCCGUGAAGGGCACUUUGCCGUGUCAAUACUUAGCUUGGGAAGGCUCCCAUUCCGAAAACGGUUCAUGUCGAGCACUUCGAACCACUUCUUAACGGAUCGUUUUGAUCGGUAGUGCCGAGAACCCUCUGGACAACCGCGAAGUAUUUUCAACUCUAUUACCAAUUUCUACGGUUAGCAAACCCUGCUAAAUUGACCGUACUCUACAUUGCAUCUACCACUUCGAGCAGUCAUAAUUGGUUCACGCUGGGUGAUGCUGAAACUCGAGUCUGUCUUGCGGGCUGUAACGCUAGUGCACUUCCAGCGUUCCAUUAACCGGAAGUUGGGGAGACGACGUUCGUUUCAAUGAGCAGAUGCAAUCGAUGCUGAACGUUUGGUGGCACUUUAGCGUGGCGACUCAAAAGUUUCUUGAACCUAGAGAAGUGAUUGUGUGGUAUAACACUUUUGAAAGUUAAAGAAUUACAUAUAAUUCAAGUUCUUUCUGAUGAAAAAAUAUAUUUAAAAAAAAAACUGAAAACUGAUUUUUACUUUUAAAACAUAUUUUUUUUUUGUAAAACUGUUGAACUUGCCACAAACAUUGGAAUGUUGUUAAAAAAAGAAUUAAAAUUUGCUGUUCUGGUAAAAACAAUUUGGUAAAAACAACCUAAUAUACUAUUUGUCAGUGAGGAAGGCACCAACCACCUGAAGGUGGAUUAAGUAAGGUUUUUGCCUUCCUCACCUUACUGAGGAAAGGCUAUAAAAUCACUCGAAAAAUUAACUUUUUAAUUAGACCUCCUAGACCUACCUUCAUUUGUACAUAUCGGCUCAGAAUCACGAGCUGAGCAAAUGUCUGUGUGUUUGGCUGUAUGUAGACAUGUGUACCAAAUCAAUGUCACUGGAAUAUCUUGUCACAGGCUCAACCGAUUUUGGCCGGAAUGAUUUUAAUCGAUCCGUCUUUACGUCGCAUACGUUGCUAUUGAAAACUAUACAAAUUAGAUAAGUACUUCAAAAGUUAUACUCAAAAAACGGUUUCAUACAAAUUUCAAAUCGUUCAAAAAAGGGUGGUUUUCGAAAGAAAAUCUGUGAUGUUAUAUAUCAAAAGAAAGCGUUUCAAAAUUCCUUUCGAAUGGCACAAGAAUUUUGAUGAUCCGGCAAUCCUAACUAAAGUUAUUAUCGUUUAAAAAAUAAUUACAUAACCUUUUAGUUCUAUGUCGCUUUUCGUGAAUGGUCACCGUGCAAGAAAAGCGUUGCCUCUUUUGCUUCAUAAGAACUCUGUAUUUACCUUGUGGGAAAGUCUGCAGUUAGUCUGUAUCUUUCAGUUUUGGCAUCCAAAUACAUUUUUGUAAUCGUUCAAAUCCAGAGUUUUUUUUUUGAAAAGGUCCUAUAACCUAUUGUCUUUUAUAUGUUUAUAGGACCUAAUCAAAAAAAUGUCGAGAAAUGCAAAGUCGGCCAUUAAAAAAAAUAAUUUCAUCUAAAAUAUUUGCCUGCAUUGAUAAAUGAUUAAAAUUAGCCAUAUUAAAUCUGUGUUGCAGUUCUUUAUAUUUUAAUUUAUCCUAUAAGAAAUGUCUGUAUUUAUCUUUUUCCUCUAGAACUGGCAUUACUGUUCGAGAGCUUAUCGAAUGUCAAACGUACUGCUCUUCGCAUCAAUGUUGUUGUUUACGUUUUUACUGUACCGUUUAUUUAAUUUUGUGAAAAGUUCGUGUACGGCGGGUCUGCUUUUGGUCACUGGUGAACCGACCAGAAAGUUAGAAGAGCAUUUAUAUUGUCAACGACGUAACAGCGGGAACCAGUGACUUAUAAGAUGCAGAAUGAGGCCCUCAAGCUGGUGUCCGUGAAGGGCACUUUGCCGUGUCAAUACUUAGCUUGGGAAGGCUCCCAUUCCGAAAACGGUUCAUGUCGAGCACUUCGAACCACUUCUUAACGGAUCGUUUUGAUCGGUAGUGCCGAGAACCCUCUGGACAACCGCGAAGUAUUUUCAACUCUAUUACCAAUUUCUACGGUUAGCAAACCCUGCUAAAUUGACCGUACUCUACAUUGCAUCUACCACUUCGAGCAGUCAUAAUUGGUUCACGCUGGGUGAUGCUGAAACUCGAGUCUGUCUUGCGGGCUGUAACGCUAGUGCACUUCCAGCGUUCCAUUAACCGGAAGUUGGGGAGACGACGUUCGUUUCAAUGAGCAGAUGCAAUCGAUGCUGAACGUUUGGUGGCACUUUAG
This is a long non-coding RNA of Culex pipiens pallens (northern house mosquito), 2900 nucleotides long. RefSeq lists it as uncharacterized. Lineage: Eukaryota; Metazoa; Arthropoda; Insecta; Diptera; Culicidae. The record is from RefSeq and is a predicted model, not a curated record. The transcript has 5 exons.